GAUGAACGCUGGCGGCGUGCCUAAUACAUGCAAGUCGAGCGAACAGACGAGGAGCUUGCUCCUCUGACGUUAGCGGCGGACGGGUGAGUAAAACGUGGAUAACCUCCCUAUAAGACUGGGAUAACUUCGGGAAACCGGAGCUAAUACCGGAUAAUAUAUUGAACCGCAUGGUUCAAUAGUGAAAGACGGCUUUGCUGUCACUUAUAGAUGGAUCCGCCCCGCAUUAGCUAGUUGGUAAGGUAACGGCUUACCAAGGCAACGAUGCGUAGCCGACCUGAGAGGGUGAUCGGCCACACUGGAACUGAGACACGGUCCAGGCUCCUACGGGAGGCAGCAGUAGGGAAUCUUCCGCAAUGGGCGAAAGCCUGACGGAGCAACGCCGCGUGAGUGAUGAAGGUCUUCGGAUCGUAAAACUCUGUUAUUAGGGAAGAACAAAUGUGUAAGUAACUAUGCACGUCUUGACGGUACCUAAUCAGAAAGCCACGGCUAACUACGUG
RNAcentral lists this ribosomal RNA (497 nucleotides) under uncultured bacterium. RNAcentral describes it as "partial 16S ribosomal RNA". It matches the Rfam family "Bacterial small subunit ribosomal RNA", at positions 28 to 507 of the family's 1533-position model. The record is from RNAcentral.